Molecule: long non-coding RNA, 1706 nt
Organism: Mugil cephalus (flathead mullet)
Lineage: Eukaryota; Metazoa; Chordata; Actinopteri; Mugiliformes; Mugilidae
Exons: 3
Source: RefSeq, a predicted model, not a curated record
UAUAGGAACUACAAUACAUCAGUUUAAUAGACACAUAGAACUAUAACUAUCAUUGCCCUCUGGUGGACACAUGGUGGAACUACAAUACAUCAGUUUAAUAGACACAUAGAACUAUAACUAUCACUGCCCUCUGGUGGACACAAGGUGGAACUACAAUACAUCAGUUUAUCAUAUUUAUUUAUUUUCACAGUUGAUUUAUAUUUAUGCUGUUUUACAUGGCUGUUUUUAAUUUAUUUCAUAUUUAUCUUUCAUUGUCAUUUCUUUUUUUUCUUCCUUUCUUUUUUAUUUUAUUUAUGUAUUUAUUUUUUUUAGGUCUCCAGUGUUCUGUCACGCUUGGGGAUGUUCCUUUCUACCCCUGUCCCUUGGGUCCCCUCGGCCUGGGUCGCUGGACGCUCUGCACUUAGGUGUAGGGACCACCUCUCUGCCUGGGGUGGGCUGAUCUUUGCUCGUGAGGAGUAGAAAAUGCUCAUUUCUGGUCAAUUCAUUUCACAAACUUAGGUGACAAAAACUCACAAAUGAACCCACCAACAAGAACUCAUACCGUUUCAUCUCUUUUCAGUCUUCAUCGUCUUAGGCUACGAGAGAAAAUGUUCUAAUAAAAAUAUGAGACUGUAGGUGUGAAAUAUUAAGCUAAAAUUCUACAAUCAAUGAGUAUCAGUGUUAUUGGAUGUGAACAGUUGUAGUUCCUCAUAGUGACCACUGGAGGGCAAAUACCGGCAAGUAGGAAAUGAUCAUCUUUAAUGAAAUAAAACAUCUUUCCAUCACUAUAUAACUUUUACCUACAGGCUGACAUCUAAAAACCAGAAUUAAAUUAAAAAACAUAUCAAAGUAGAUGCUGAGACUGUAUGAAUGCAUCAAAUGGGCAACACCCCUACUACAAUACCCCACUUGGUAGAGUCCACCUCCCCCUUCCAUAAAUGUAGUUGGACUCCUCCACUUCCUGUUUGCCAGUCCGGCCUCCUACCUGGACAGGUGUGGAUGGAGCACAUGGAACAAACAUUUGGAACAUCAGGAGGAGACACGGCCAUGAUGGUUUCUAAGACUACGACUAAACAACAGCAACGUCGCAGGAAGACUCUACAGAACAUCAGGAGGAGACACGGCCAUGAUGGUUUCUAAGACUUCACCCGAACAACAGCAACUUUGCAAAAGUUGCAAAAGUUAAAGUGGUUUAAAAUGAUGUUAUGUUAUUGUAUGUUAUAUUAUGUACGUAGUAUUGUUUGACUGUUUCAUAAUUGUAGACUAACAUGUUUUGUUCUAAUCUCUCCAGGAGGAGACGCGGCCAUGAUGGUUUCCAGGACUGAGCCUGAACCCUUCCACUACUGUCCCUGACUCCUCCCACCUCACCACUAACUCCACCCAUUAACUCCUCCCACUGACCCCUCCCCUACUACCCAUCUCAUCUUUGACUCCACCCACUAGCCCCUCCUCUCUGCUGACUCCUCCCACCACUGACUCCUCCCCCCUCACUGUAAAACUUAGUUCUAGGAGACAUAACCCCGUCCUUCUACCUCUCAGAAACCACGGGGAGGACACGGCCCCCCCCGCGCCUGCUACCACAGGACCCCGACAACGGGCGGGAUUCGAACCACACACCACCGAGAACCCUUCACACUUGGACCUUCUCUCUGAGCGCUUUUGUCAUCGUCACUUUGGAAUCUGGACUUUAAAAGUCACGACUGUCAUAAGAUUUGAACCCAUGACUU